CUCGCUGUGAAGAUGCAGUGUACCCGCGGCAAGACGGAAAGACCCCGUGAACCUUUACUAUAGCUUGACACUGAACACUGGUCCUUGAUGUGUAGGAUAGGUGGGAGGCUUUGAAGCGUGGACGCCAGUCUGCGUGGAGCCGCCCUUGAAAUACCACCCUUUAAUGGCUGGUGUUCUAACGUAGACCCGUAAUCCGGGUUGCGGACAGUGUCUGGUGGGUAGUUUGACUGGGGCGGUCUCCUCCCAAAGAGUAACGGAGGAGCACGAAGGUUAGCUAAUCCUGGUCGGACAUCAGGAGGUUAGUGCAAUGGCAUAAGCUAGCUUGACUGCGAGAGUGACGGCUCGAGCAGGUGCGAAAGCAGGUCAUAGUGAUCCGGUGGUUCUGAAUGGAAGGGCCAUCGCUCAACGGAUAAAAGGUACUCCGGGGAUAACAGGCUGAUACCGCCCAAGAGUUCAUAUCGACGGCGGUGUUUGGCACCUCGAUGUCGGCUCAUCACAUCCUGGGGCUGAAGUAGGUCCCAAGGGUAUGGCUGUUCGCCAUUUAAAGUGGUACGCGAGCUGGGUUUAGAACGUCGUGAGACAGUUCGGUCCCUAUCUGCCGUGGGCGCUGGAGAAUUGAGGGGGGCUGCUCCUAGUACGAGAGGACCGGAGUGGACGCAUCACUGG
This 666-nucleotide ribosomal RNA is filed under the name Mesorhizobium sp. RNAcentral describes it as "partial 23S ribosomal RNA". It matches the Rfam family "Bacterial large subunit ribosomal RNA", at positions 2048 to 2712 of the family's 2925-position model. Lineage: Bacteria; Pseudomonadati; Pseudomonadota; Alphaproteobacteria; Hyphomicrobiales; Phyllobacteriaceae. The record is from RNAcentral.